This 429-nucleotide ribosomal RNA is filed under the name Bacteroidota bacterium. RNAcentral describes it as "Bacteroidetes bacterium partial 16S ribosomal RNA". It matches the Rfam family "Bacterial small subunit ribosomal RNA", at positions 355 to 776 of the family's 1533-position model. Lineage: Bacteria; Pseudomonadati; Bacteroidota. The record is from RNAcentral.
UAGGGAAUCUUCGGCAAUGGGGGGAACCCUGACCGAGCAACGCCGCGUGGGUGAAGAAGGUUUUCGGAUCGUAAAGCUCUGUUGUUAAGGAAGAACGAGUGUGAGAAUGGAAAGUUCAUGCUGUGACGGUACUUAACCAGAAAGGGACGGCUAACUACGUGCCAGCAGCCGCGGUAAUACGUAGGUCCCGAGCGUUGUCCGGAUUUAUUGGGCGUAAAGCGAGCGCAGGCGGUUAGAAAAGUCUGAAGUGAAAGGCAGUGGCUCAACCAUUGUAGGCUUUGGAAACUGUUUAACUUGAGUGCAGAAGGGGAGAGUGGAAUUCCAUGUGUAGCGGUGAAAUGCGUAGAUAUAUGGAGGAACACCGGUGGCGAAAGCGGCUCUCUGGUCUGUAACUGACGCUGAGGCUCGAAAGCGUGGGGAGCGAACAGG